RNAcentral lists this ribosomal RNA (252 nucleotides) under uncultured bacterium. Its description in RNAcentral is "partial 16S ribosomal RNA". It matches the Rfam family "Bacterial small subunit ribosomal RNA", at positions 525 to 776 of the family's 1533-position model. The record is from RNAcentral.
ACGAAGGGUGCAAGCGUUAAUCGGAAUUACUGGGCGUAAAGCGUGCGUAGGCGGUUUGUUAAGUCCGAUGUGAAAGCCCUGGGCUCAACCUGGGAAUGGCAUUGGAAACUGGCGAGCUAGAGUAAGGUAGAGGAGUGCGGAAUUCCUGGUGUAGCGGUGAAAUGCGUAGAGAUCAGGAGGAACAUCCGUGGCGAAGGCGGCACUCUGGACCAUUACUGACGCUGAGGCACGAAAGCGUGGGGAGCAAACAGG